This 251-nucleotide ribosomal RNA is filed under the name uncultured bacterium. RNAcentral describes it as "partial 16S ribosomal RNA". It matches the Rfam family "Bacterial small subunit ribosomal RNA", at positions 524 to 776 of the family's 1533-position model. The record is from RNAcentral.
UACGUAGGGUGCGAGCGUUGUCCGGAAUUACUGGGCGUAAAGAGCUCGUAGGUGGUUUGUCGCGUUGUUCGUGAAAACUCACAGCUUAACUGUGGGCGUGCGGGCGAUACGGGCAGACUGGAGUACUGCAGGGGAGACUGGAAUUCCUGGUGUAGCGGUGGAAUGCGCAGAUAUCAGGAGGAACACCGGUGGCGAAGGCGGCAUCCUGGACCGGCAUGACGCUGAGGAGCGAAGCCAGGGGAGCAAACGGG